GAAACAUAAAAUCAUGGAGUCAAGGGCCUUGAUCACACAAAGCGUUGAAGGAGGUUGAGUCAUAUGCAAGGGUUUUUACAUGGCAUGUUUGUAUUGGUGAAAUCUUCAUCUUGGUUGUCUUUAUUAUGGAGCAUAGGGGAAACCCUAAUUCAUUGGUGUUGGAUUGCAAGCAUCAUCAAUAUCUUUCAAUCCCUAAAACCCUAAUUUCAUAUGAUUCAC
This 219-nucleotide long non-coding RNA is filed under the name Lathyrus oleraceus (garden pea). RNAcentral describes it as "Pisum sativum (pea) long non-coding RNA (PSAT_LNC014960)". The record is from RNAcentral. Lineage: Eukaryota; Viridiplantae; Streptophyta; Magnoliopsida; Fabales; Fabaceae.